AGUAGUCUACUUCCGAACUUCAUAAAAACGAUGAAGAUAUAAAUACUAAUCUGAAACAGAGGCUUCGGUCGAAGGUGUAUACUAUACAUUAACAUAAUUGGAUGGUUAAAACGUUUGCAAUUUAUACAAAAUGUAUUAAGUUGUUUAUGCAUUUUGAAAGCAUGUGAGGUUUUCAUCUAGAACAACGGCAGUUCGACCAAGUGCAUGGUGGCUGCAACAUGGGAAGACAAACUGGUGGUUGCAGCCAUUGACUUUGGGACUGCCUUUACUGGAUGUGCCAUAUCAUAUCAAGCUGAUUACAACACAUCAAAGGAAAAAAAAUAAUCACAUUAAACUGGACGUCUGGAAAUGCCCAAAGCAACCAGAAAACGCCGACCGUCCUUCUACUGAAGCCCGACGGGGGUUUCGAAGCUUUUGGAUACGAGGCAGAGAACAGGUUUUCGGAACUUGCAGACGAUGAAGAUGUCAAAGAGAAUGAAUGGCAUUAUUUCGAACAUUUCAAGAUGACUCUGCAUAAUGAAAGCGUUAGGAAUGAAGACCUUGCUUUGAGGGUGUUUUGCAGACCAGUGGUUGUUGGCCUGGUGGAUUUUCAAGAUAAACUGUAGACUGCCCCCUUAAUUCCGUAAAGCAAAACUAAUUCAAAAUCAUGGGGGAUUUACACAUGACAAAUGCAAUUCCUAAUGGCAAUAGGUAAGUUUUCAAUCCUUAUUGUCUUUCUGAGUUGUAUUAAAAACAGCGGUAGUGGAUCCAGUGUGGCUGGAAAGUUACUCAGGUAAAUUUUGCAUAAUUUCGCGACCUGUCAAAUUGUGUUCCUGCAUCAUGUAUUGUCUUGAAAGCAUCUUUUGUCAUAUACUAAGUUAAAAUGCUAUCUUGUGAUUUAAGGAACCUCAAUUCCCAGUGAGAGAAUCUACUCCACAGCAGGAGACCUCGUCAGUGCUCAUAGGGCUUGCCUGGACCAGGAAAAUGUUGAUAUGUUAUUUUUUUGUAAAAACAAACAUCAAACUGCAUGAACUGUGUAAAAGUGUAUGUUAACGAGCAAACUAUUAAGUGAAUAAGUGUUGAGGUUUCGUUUUAUUCUGACAUUGCUUCAAUGUUAAACGUAUUAAAAAAAAAUUUGUUAAUAAAUGUUUAAUGUUUUUUAGUCAAAUUAUACGUCUAAAACAUUGAUUUUUUUAAUUUGGACAGAAUUUCUUAUUUUCUGUUAGUCUUAUGUGAGGGAUCCGGAUCCGAAAAAAAUCCGAAGAAACCUUAUUUGGAUUCGGAUUCGGAUCCGAACAAAAUUUUUAGUUUCGUUGCAGCCCUAAAAAAUACCUCCGUAUUUGACGUGAGUGUGGAUGAUCGAGUGGUAAAUUCGGGAGAAAUUUUACUCCAAUCUUCCAUGACACUAGGGGUCAGUGGUUCGAGCCCUGUGGAGCGUAAUGCAGCUUGGAUGACUCAAUGGAGGAUAAAUGCGACUCACCUACAGCACAGUGAAGACUGUUCGAGAUGUGAUAUACAAAAGUAUUGGAAAAAGACAAAGUCAUUGCUUGGACAAUUUUCGCAAAAAAGGUCAUUGAUAUGACAAUUAUUUAUAAAUGAAGGAUUUGUAUGACAAAUGUGAAUUGUAGGUAAAACAGAUUGGAAUGCCAACGCCAUUGGUGCAGAUUACUGGUAUGUUACAUAAACUCACUUUAGUGAGUUGUGCGUGAUUCCUUUACAGACUCAUUUACAGCGGCAUCAAUAUAAUCGUUCUAACUCGGAAGAAAAUGCAAUUCUAAUAUAUUGCAUAUUGACAUGGCUGGCUGUGUUCGAUAUCACAACAAUGAUAUCUUAUAUCCCAUUCGCAUUACAUUUAUAUUGCCAACAUCCUGUGACGAAAAUAUCUCCAAGCACAAAUAGCUGGGGUUGGAUGCAUUUCCUACUAGUUUUUUUAAACGUUUCCGCCAUAAGUCACACUAUAUCGAUAUGGCUUGCCGUUGCCUUGGCGAUAUUUCGCCAUCACCAUAUUAUUCGCCUUCCAAAGUAAACCUUACACGAAAUCGGUGAUUAAUCCGUGCCAGGCUAGUGGUCUACAUAAUUGUGAUAUCAUCCGUUGUGGCCAUGAUACCUAAUUAUCUGACCAAUUCUCUUACCAAGACUCCAGGAGGUGCGUAUAUAUUCAAACCUUUGAACCUUGUUUCUGGAAAUGAGAAACCGAUUAUCCUGGUCGGUUUGAUUUUUUACAGUUGCCUUGCGAAGAUUCUCCCGAGUUGUCUAAUUAUCGUGUACGGAUCGCUUCUUCUGAUUACACUUAGUGCAUCGCGAUUUGCUCAUUCAAGGACGUCCAGUGAUUGCACCGUGUCUGGCCAGCAGUCCACUAAGACGAUUCGAACGUCCCGUACAACGAUUAUGCUCCUCAUUUUAAUUGUCUUGUUUUUUAAUUUCGGAGUUACCGCAAGGUGUGUUAAUACGUAUGUCUAUAUUUAAGUAGAACUUUUUUGAACACAUUUACAUACAUUUAGGUGAUACAAUGGACAUAAUUGCCUUGGUAAAUAGAGGUGUAAACUUUGCUCUUUACUGUACAAUGAGCCAGGAGUUUCGAAGGACGUUUAUCCGCUUAUUUUAUUAAACGAAUCUCAACAAAGGAGCAAACAGGUCCUAUAUAUCAGCUCUUAUACCAAACCAUCAUUUGCAUCCUCGUGCACAACACAUAACACAGAAAUAAACACAUAUGAACUAGUUUUGUUUAUUUGAAUAUCCAUUAUGCAACCAUGCGUUUUAUUGCCAACAGUUAUAGUGUCUAAAUAGAUCAUUGUUGUGUUAUUAAAUGUCAUCCAAGAUGUUUCUUGAUGAUAUACUUAUUGAUUGUGAAACAUUUCUUUAUACAACACGAUGUUUAUAACGAUUAUAUAACGUGUACUUAAAAUCAAACCUUAUUUAUAUGUAUUCUGAUAAAACUACUUAUGCAUGCGUCAAAUGGAUGUACAAAAUUUGUUUGAGUACUUACAUCUGAAUAUUGCGAACGAUGAUACAUUUAAUAAUCUGUACAAAUGGGUCGUUUUUAGAAUAGCAUUACCUUAUGCAAAAUAGUUGUAUACGUAGGAAGAGUUCUUCAAGGAUAUACCUUAAACAAUUACACAUCGUGUUUUAAAUUUAUCUAUAAACACUAUUAAAUAUAUUUAGAGGGAAACCAUACGUAUAUUAUGUGUAUUACAUCAAAUAAAUAGACUAUAUACUACUCCAUUUACUGUCCAUCUGUGUGGCUAUCCUGUUCCUUGAUAUGCAUAGAUAACUGUAAUUCUACCUGAAACAUAACGUGAUAUCACAUUUGUGUUUCCGUAUGUAAACAUCUUGAAUAUCAUUGGACAUUUGAAAAACGUAAAACAUUCAAACAUUUAUGAGCAAGAAAGUAUAUAACUAUAAGUAAUUGAAUCUCCAUCAUUUUUUACAUUGUGUUCUGUUUAAAUUUGAAUCAUUAGUAUGUAAUCUAAUGUUGUACUGCUUGUUUCGCUUAAACAAAAUUAGCUACUUUUUAAGAUAUUUUAGACUUCCCAAAAAAAUUAUAUAUAUUAAAUAUAUAAAUUAAUACAUCAAAGCAGAAUCAUAUUAAAACCCUUACGCAAGAAACUAUGUCAACGGAUCUUAAGGCUUUAAAAUACGACUGGUAGAAGCUUUAAACAUACCAUUCUAAGUUAACCACAAUCAGUCAUGUUUUAACACGUUGCAUUUUAAUGAUCCGUGUGAGUAAAUUGAAGCAUAUAAAACAUGUGUUAUUAUUUUAUUUGUAAAAUCAAUAUUUAUUACCUAUCAUGCACGCUUUCAGAUUAAAACAAGCAUGCAUGUUAACAAUUGUAUUUUAAACAUUACCAAAAUACAGAAUUCAUGAAAAAAUCAGGUGUGGCCGUUUAUUGUAUACCAAUGCAUGUAACGUGCUGGUUAAGGAUGUUUUCUGAGAUUUCUUCUCUACCCCCGUCAAUCGCAACGUUUUUUCAUAUCCAAAGCGAGAGUUUUCAUUAACAAAGUAUUAACAAGUAUAUAUGUAAAUAACUAUUAUUUAUUUAAAAGCGUACUCUUGAUAGCUCCCCUAAACCACACUGAAUGCAUAUGAUUCCUAAAUAUAGCAUAUUGUCUUGUUAAUACAUAGCACAUAUAUUGAAUUGGUCUAUGAUAACCAAGU
Long non-coding RNA from Dreissena polymorpha, 4135 nucleotides. RefSeq lists it as uncharacterized. Lineage: Eukaryota; Metazoa; Mollusca; Bivalvia; Myida; Dreissenidae. The record is from RefSeq and is a predicted model, not a curated record. The transcript has 6 exons.